RNAcentral lists this ribosomal RNA (316 nucleotides) under uncultured bacterium. Its description in RNAcentral is "bacterial SSU rRNA". It matches the Rfam family "Bacterial small subunit ribosomal RNA", at positions 28 to 334 of the family's 1533-position model. The record is from RNAcentral.
GAUGAACGCUAGCUACAGGCUUAACACAUGCAAGUCGAGGGGCAGCGGGAUUGAAGCUUGCUUCAAUUGCCGGCGACCGGCGCACGGGUGAGUAACGCGUAUCCAACCUUCCGCUUACUCGGGGAUAGCCUUUCGAAAGAAAGAUUAAUACCCGAUGGUAUCUUAAGCACGCAUGGGAAUAUUUGUUAAAGAUUCAUCGCUGAUAGAUAGGCAUGCGUUCCAUUAGGCAGUUGGCGGGGUAACGGCCCACCAAACCGACGAUGGAUAGGGGUUCUGAGAGGAAGGUCCCCCACAUUGGUACUGAGACACGGACCAA